AAUUUAAAAAAAAAAAAAGAAAAAGCAUUUAAAAGGGGAAUUGCCUGGUAGAAAAAGAUAAUCUCUUUCAAUUAAAGCUCAAAUAGCCAUGGGGGUUACGUCUGUGACAGUACCAGCUAUUGCUGCUGCUGCUGCUGGGCUUUUUUUCUUAGGAAAAACCCAUUCCAAAGCUCAGGAGGUUGGAAGUGGAAUGCAAGCAUGUAUAGCAGGCAUGGUGGGAAAAGUGAAGGAAGAGAUGAAAACUAACGCUGAGUUGCCACAGUUAGCUCCUCAAUUCGAUGGCCUUUACUGUUUUGAAACUUUCAUAACUCAAUGAUGAUGAUGCCUGCCCAAUGAUUCGUUCAAUUCUUUCCAUUCUUUCUCCUUCUUCUUUAUCUGUUUAUUUAUUUGAACAAUGUGAAUUUCAUUGCAAAACGCUUCAAACGACAUCAUGUUAAAGCAACGGUAAGCCACCUAAUAAUUGUUUCUUUUGCAUGGUGUAUUUUGGAGCCAGAUGGUUUAGGUUGUGAUUGUCCCAUUAUUUCUUAAGGAAAAAUUAUGUGUCUG
RNAcentral lists this unclassified non-coding RNA (546 nucleotides) under Hevea brasiliensis (rubber tree). Lineage: Eukaryota; Viridiplantae; Streptophyta; Magnoliopsida; Malpighiales; Euphorbiaceae. The record is from RNAcentral.